RNAcentral lists this ribosomal RNA (730 nucleotides) under Acinetobacter sp. RNAcentral's name for it is "bacterial SSU rRNA". It matches the Rfam family "Bacterial small subunit ribosomal RNA", at positions 56 to 781 of the family's 1533-position model. Lineage: Bacteria; Pseudomonadati; Pseudomonadota; Gammaproteobacteria; Moraxellales; Moraxellaceae. The record is from RNAcentral.
UGCAGUCGAGCGGAGAUGAGGUGCUUGCACCUUAUCUUAGCGGCGGACGGGUGAGUAAUGCUUAGGAAUCUGCCUAUUAGUGGGGGACAACAUUCCGAAAGGAAUGCUAAUACCGCAUACGCCCUACGGGGGAAAGCAGGGGAUCUUCGGACCUUGCGCUAAUAGAUGAGCCUAAGUCGGAUUAGCUAGUUGGUGGGGUAAAGGCCUACCAAGGCGACGAUCUGUAGCGGGUCUGAGAGGAUGAUCCGCCACACUGGGACUGAGACACGGCCCAGACUCCUACGGGAGGCAGCAGUGGGGAAUAUUGGACAAUGGGCGGAAGCCUGAUCCAGCCAUGCCGCGUGUGUGAAGAAGGCCUUUUGGUUGUAAAGCACUUUAAGCGAGGAGGAGGCUACUUAGAUUAAUACUCUAGGAUAGUGGACGUUACUCGCAGAAUAAGCACCGGCUAACUCUGUGCCAGCAGCCGCGGUAAUACAGAGGGUGCGAGCGUUAAUCGGAUUUACUGGGCGUAAAGCGUGCGUAGGCGGCUGAUUAAGUCGGAUGUGAAAUCCCUGAGCUUAACUUAGGAAUUGCAUUCGAUACUGGUCAGCUAGAGUAUGGGAGAGGAUGGUAGAAUUCCAGGUGUAGCGGUGAAAUGCGUAGAGAUCUGGAGGAAUACCGAUGGCGAAAGCAGCCAUCUGGCCUAAUACUGACGCUGAGGUACGAAAGCAUGGGGAGCAAACAGGAUUAG